Molecule: ribosomal RNA, 253 nt
Filed under: uncultured bacterium
Lineage: Bacteria
Description: partial 16S ribosomal RNA
Rfam family: Bacterial small subunit ribosomal RNA
Source: RNAcentral
UACGAAGGGGGCUAGCGUUGUUCGGAAUCACUGGGCGUAAAGGGCGCGUAGGCGGCCGAUCAAGUCGGGGGUGAAAGCCUGUGGCUCAACCACAGAAUUGCCUUCGAUACUGUUUGGCUUGAGACCGGAAGAGGUUAGUGGAACUGCGAGUGUAGAGGUGAAAUUCGUAGAUAUUCGCAAGAACGCCAGUGGCGAAGGCGGCUCACUGGCCCGGUACUGACGCUGAGGUGCGAAAGCGUGGGGAGCAAACAGG